AGCGAGUCUGCCUUGAAGAUCGGAGUGCUUGCACUCUGUGAAACAAGAUACAGGCUAGCGGCGGACGGGUGAGUAACACGUGGGUAACCUGCCCAAGAGAUCGGGAUAACACCUGGAAACAGAUGCUAAUACCGGAUAACAACAGAUGAUGCCUAUCAACUGUUUAAAAGAUGGUUCUGCUAUCACUCUUGGAUGGACCUGCGGUGCAUUAGCUAGUUGGUAGGGUAACGGCCUACCAAGGCGAUGAUGCAUAGCCGAGUUGAGAGACUGAUCGGCCACAUUGGGACUGAGACACGGCCCAAACUCCUACGGGAGGCAGCAGUAGGGAAUCUUCCACAAUGGACGCAAGUCUGAUGGAGCAACGCCGCGUGAGUGAAGAAGGGUUUCGGCUCGUAAAGCUCUGUUGUUGGUGAAGAAGGACAGGGGUAGUAACUGACCUUUGUUUGACGGUAAUCAAUUAGAAAGUCACGGCUAACUACGUGCCAGCAGCCGCGGUAAUACGUAGGUGGCAAGCGUUGUCCGGAUUUAUUGGGCGUAAAGCGAGUGCAGGCGGCUCGAUAAGUCUGAUGUGAAAGCCUUCGGCUCAACCGGAGAAUUGCAUCAGAAACUGUCGAGCUUGAGUACAGAAGAGGAGAGUGGAACUCCAUGUGUAGCGGUGAAAUGCGUAGAUAUAUGGAAGAACACCGGUGGCGAAGGCGGCUCUCUGGUCUGUUACUGACGCUGAGGCUCGAAAGCAUGGGUAGCGAACAGGAUUAGAUACCCUGGUAGUCCAUGCCGUANACGAUGAGUGCUAAGUGUUGGGAGGUUUCCGCCUCUCAGUGCUGCAGCUAACGCAUU
This 837-nucleotide ribosomal RNA is filed under the name uncultured bacterium. RNAcentral describes it as "bacterial SSU rRNA". It matches the Rfam family "Bacterial small subunit ribosomal RNA", at positions 56 to 861 of the family's 1533-position model. The record is from RNAcentral.